RNAcentral lists this ribosomal RNA (473 nucleotides) under uncultured bacterium. RNAcentral's name for it is "bacterial SSU rRNA". It matches the Rfam family "Bacterial small subunit ribosomal RNA", at positions 335 to 799 of the family's 1533-position model. The record is from RNAcentral.
ACUCCUACGGGAGGCAGCAGUGGGGAAUAUUGCACAAUGGGGGAAACCCUGAUGCAGCCAUGCCGCGUGUGUGAAGAAGGCCUUCGGGUUGUAAAGCACUUUCAGUAGGGAGGAAGGUAGUGUAGUUAACACCUGCAUUAUUUGACGUUACCUACAGAAGAAGCACCGGCUAACUCCGUGCCAGCAGCCGCGGUAAUACGGAGGGUGCGAGCGUUAAUCGGAAUUACUGGGCGUAAAGCGCAUGCAGGCGGCCUGUUAAGUCAGAUGUGAAAGCCCGGGGCUUAACCUCGGAAUUGCAUUUGAAACUGGCAGGCUAGAGUCUUGUAGAGGGGGGUAGAAUUUCAGGUGUAGCGGUGAAAUGCGUAGAGAUCUGAAGGAAUACCAGUGGCGAAGGCGGCCCCCUGGACAAAGACUGACGCUCAGAUGCGAAAGCGUGGGGAGCAAACAGGAUUAGAUACCCUGGUAGGACAGAG